UGGGGAAUUUUGGACAAUGGGCGCAAGCCUGAUCCAGCCAUGCCGCGUGCAGGAAGAAGGCCUUCGGGUUGUAAACUGCUUUUGUCAGGGAAGAAAUCCUUUGGGCUAAUACCCCGGAGGGAUGACGGUACCUGAAGAAUAAGCACCGGCUAACUACGUGCCAGCAGCCGCGGUAAUACGUAGGGUGCGAGCGUUAAUCGGAAUUACUGGGCGUAAAGCGUGCGCAGGCGGCUUUGCAAGACAGACGUGAAAUCCCCGGGGCUCAACCUGGGAACUGCAUUUGUGACUGCAAGGCUAGAGUGCGGCAGAGGGAGAUGGAAUUCCGCGUGUAGCAGUGAAAUGCGUAGAUAUGCGGAGGAACACCGAUGGCGAAGGCAAUCUCCUGGGCCUGCACUGACGCUCAUGCACGAAAGCGUGGGGAGCAAACNGGAUUAGAUNCCCUGGUAGUCACGCCCUAAANGAUGUCAACUGGUUGUUGGACGGCUUCUGUUCAGUAACGAAGCUAACGCGUGAAAGUUGACCGCCUGGGGUAGUACGGCCGCAAGGUUGAAACUCAAAUGAAUUGACGGGG
Molecule: ribosomal RNA, 571 nt
Filed under: uncultured bacterium
Lineage: Bacteria
Description: partial 16S ribosomal RNA
Rfam family: Bacterial small subunit ribosomal RNA
Source: RNAcentral